RNAcentral lists this transfer RNA (82 nucleotides) under Alphaproteobacteria bacterium. RNAcentral describes it as "tRNA-OTHER". It matches the Rfam family "tRNA". From Rfam's summary of the family: Transfer RNA (tRNA) molecules are approximately 80 nucleotides in length. Their secondary structure includes four short double-helical elements and three loops (D, anti-codon, and T loops). The record is from RNAcentral. Lineage: Bacteria; Pseudomonadati; Pseudomonadota; Alphaproteobacteria.
GCUCGGGUAGCUCAGAGGCAGAGCAGGGGCGCGCGCCCACAAACCUUGACCCACCGCGCGGGUUCGAGUCCCGCCCCGAGCC